GAUGAACGCUGGCGGCGUGCCUAAUACAUGCAAGUCGAACGCACAGCGAAAGGUGCUUGCACCUUUCAAGUGAGUGGCGAACGGGUGAGUAACACGUGGACAACCUGCCUCAAGGCUGGGGAUAACAUUUGGAAACAGAUGCUAAUACCGAAUAAAACUCAGUGUCGCAUGACACAAAGUUAAAAGGCGCUUUGGCGUCACCUAGAGAUGGAUCCGCGGUGCAUUAGUUAGUUGGUGGGGUAAAGGCCUACCAAGACAAUGAUGCAUAGCCGAGUUGAGAGACUGAUCGGCCACAUUGGGACUGAGACACGGCCCAAACUCCUACGGGAGGCUGCAGUAGGGAAUCUUCCACAAUGGGCGAAAGCCUGAUGGAGCAACGCCGCGUGUGUGAUGAAGGCUUUCGGGUCGUAAAGCACUGUUGUAUGGGAAGAACAGCUAGAAUAGGGAAUGAUUUUAGUUUGACGGUACCAUACCAGAAAGGGACGGCUAAAUACGUGCCAGCAGCCGCCGUAA
RNAcentral lists this ribosomal RNA (513 nucleotides) under uncultured bacterium. RNAcentral's name for it is "partial 16S ribosomal RNA". It matches the Rfam family "Bacterial small subunit ribosomal RNA", at positions 28 to 523 of the family's 1533-position model. The record is from RNAcentral.